UCUGCAACACGGAAGCGAGCAAAACUACAGAGAAUCAAAAACAAGCCACAAGGACACUUAUCCUGGUUUUAUAUUGUUUAUUUUAUAUAUAUACUUUUACUUUUGAGUGGAGAACAGUCGCUCCAGUAAAUUUUCCGUAAUGGUAUGACUUCUGAUAAAAGCCGGUGCCUACGUGGUGCGGAAGAUCCGUUCCGCUGUCGGAGGGGAUGAGCAAAAAGACCAGCCCGUCCUCACACCAUGUAGCCUGGCACAAGCUAAUAAGCGCCAGAGUCAGAAGAGGUUAACGGCAGAGGAGAUGCCAGAAGAUGGCGUGGUGUGUGCGCUUCCGACUGACUCAAAAACAGUGCAAAAACAUGGUUCUUGAGGUUAAAGGACACGCAGGUGCAUAACUGGGUGCUAGAUUGUAGAAGCCAGUUGGCACAUAUUCUACUUACAGUCAAAUGUUUUUGGAAAGCCUGGAGGUUUUUCUUUGUAAUUGGGGAUUAUUAAUAUACUGGCUGCUCACAGACCCUAAUUGAAGUCUAAAAUUGGUCUCUAGAUAAAUGACUUAAACAAGAUCUGAAGAUUUCUCAAUUACAUCUAGAUUAUUUUCAAGAAAAUGCAAAAUUUUAAAUUUCACUUAUUAACUACGCAUUAAAAUACAAACAAGAUAAAAUACAACCAUAUAAAUUGUGCUACACCUUUUAUAGGGUGCUCAAAAAUGUUUAGCAGUAAAGAGUGCCAGCCCAGUUUGCUCUGCGUAACUGAAGGUUGUUGGUCAGUCUCUCUCUCUCUCUCUCUCUCUCUCUCUCUUUCUCUCCCUUUUUCCGUCUCUGUCUCAGCUGUAGUUUGUGAAGGUCUGUUCAUCAACCUCUGACUCAGGGAAUGUUCAGAUCUGAAAAUUUCCUACAGCUGUAACAUAUUUAUAUUUAAGGGAUCUUUUAAAUAAACAUUCCCUUUUGAAUGGUUUGACAUCACUACAUUUUACAAAAAGUCUGUUAAAAAAUAUGGCUUAGAUGUAUGUAAAAUCACAUUUUUCAUUUGAAUGUGUAAUAAAUAAAAUUACUACAGUAAUUA
Long non-coding RNA from Clarias gariepinus (North African catfish), 1056 nucleotides. RefSeq lists it as uncharacterized. The record is from RefSeq and is a predicted model, not a curated record. The transcript is spliced from 3 exons. Lineage: Eukaryota; Metazoa; Chordata; Actinopteri; Siluriformes; Clariidae.